Non-coding RNA from Malus domestica (apple), 2044 nucleotides. The record is from RefSeq and is a predicted model, not a curated record. Lineage: Eukaryota; Viridiplantae; Streptophyta; Magnoliopsida; Rosales; Rosaceae.
UGGUGUCUGUCUGAUUAGUGUUUUCUUCGUCUUGCUAAUUGCGGUUAUAAAUCAAUGUUCCAUGUCACGUGUAUGGAUGGUGCUGUUAAUUAAUUUUUAAAUUUUAAUUGCGAUUAUAAAUUAAUGUUUGAUGUUCAGGCGCAUGGUUACUAAGAAAAAUCUCAUCAAUUCGUUGUCAAAUAUGACAGUGUUUAAUGGUCAGAAAAAAAAAAAUAUGACAAAUUUCAUUUUUCUCAACUACCCAAGAGCCAAAUAUUUGAUUUUUCUCUGUGGUUUGUUAUUUUACCGAAUUUGGUUGUUGAUAUUUCGUUUUUUUUAUAGUUCAUUUGUGUUCUGUUGGGCUUGUAUUUUACUAGAAUUUCAUAGAAUUUGAUUGGGCUGCGUAACUGAUUGGCUUAAAAUUUUGUGAUAUUAAAUAUUUCUUGAAUUUGAUCAUUAGAUUUCCCCUUUUUUUUUGGAAGUUGACGUGCUUUCCCAUUCAUCGCCAAAACAAACCCGUGCUGCCUCCCCCUUCGUCUUCUCCUCCAGCAAUUUGCGCCUUUAGUUCUCAAUUGGAUUCACGGUAAAAACCCAGAAACAUAAGAGAAUCUGAUCUGGCUUUUGCUGGGAUUUCAGAGUAAAAACGUUGAAACUUAAAGAUCUUACCCCGCAGUGCUCAAUCCAGAGAAUUGGUACUCAUAAUCAAUAAGAUUUAUACGGCUUAUUGGUAUCAAUUUUGGUUGCAGCAAUGCUAUUCUUGCUGAAGACCUGCCAUAAAUUCAAAGCACGCAGAGAUCUCGAGUAAAAAACAGAGCAACUCUUGCACAGCGAAAUGACUCCCACCACCCAACAAACGCAACUGCUACAAUUUCAAUUGCAGUUCUUGAAGAAAGUGUGAAAGUUUUGAGCUUUGAAGAAGCAGAGGAGGAGAGUUUCCAGUCCAUCUUCAGGUAAGCUUGACAGCCACAGAUCAGGGUGUGGAGAGGAUGGAGAAAGUUAUCCUGCUGAUUAACAAGAGUCACAACAGUAGCAGAAUCCACCUCCACCUCAACAGAUCUAAAACCUCUCAUCCAAGCCAAGCGUAAACCAAAAAAAAAGGCAUAUGGAUUCGCAUGGAUUUCGCGGAGCUGGAGAAAGAUACUGCCUCUAGAGAUGAGUGGUUACUGAUGUGUAGAAAGCAAAUUGUUUUCUUGCAGAUGAUAUAAAUCAAAGAUGACAUUCAUUAUGGUCAAAUAAACUCAGGUUGAAUAAAUCACUCAUGGAAUUUGUUUUGCAAAAACUAUUAAUUUUGUUUUGAUUGCAAAUUUAAUUGUUUUCUUAACAUACAGUUUUAUCAAAUUCAAUUUUUCUCAUUUUCAAAUUUUCCGCGGACCACAUUUUUUCCCUUUGCAGCUUUUUAUGUCUUUGAAAAAGGUAUGUCAUGUUUUUAACGUUUUGGGUUUUACAUGUUACUUCGACUUUUAUUGUCUGCCUCCUUCAGCAUUACUUACAUUCAUUUUCCAGUAUUGGCUGAUAAAAAUUUAUAAAAUACUUAAGAUUUUAAUUAGAAAGUUAAAAAUUUUAGCCAUAUUUUUAGUCGUAUGUUCUGUGUCAUUCUAAUUCAAAGAUUGGAAAAUGACUGAAAUAAUAUUUUCUUCCUUCUGUCUUUCAAAUUUCCAUUUGGUCCAAUUUUAUAUUUCAUUUCUUUGUGACUUUUUGCAAAACUUGGAAUCAGGUUUUCAGGUAACAUGGACGAUGAAUGUAAGAAACUCAUACAUAGAAUAACUCCACCAAGUUGUAUUCACAACUGUCCAAGACACUCUUUGGAAUUUAUUACAACAAAAUGUCAAUUUUUCCUUCUUUGGAAACACCUCAAGCUAAGAACAAGUCUGGUAUCCAAGCUUUACAUUCAACAUUGUUUAGCAUGUAGCAAGCUUUGUUUGACUGGUAUACUCUCAAUACUGGAUUUGUAAGUUAUGCAGUUAUCGUUAGUUCAACUUUUUGAAUGAACAAUUAUCUUCUUCUUUGCACUUUGUAAGAAUAUAUUUUUCUCUUGGUAUCCAAAUUUGUUCCGUUCAUGAUAAGA